GGCCGCGCAGGGCUGGGCGGCGGGGCCCCCUCUCCCACGCGAGGCGUCUGCGUGGAGCGGCGGCACCGGGAGCCCGGGCGCUCGACCCAAACGCCGCGGACGGAGCGAGGCCGCAGCGCCCCCUGGUGUCCGCAACGAGCAGCGCGUCCCGGUCGGGUCCCGCAUGGUCAGUGGCCAGCAAGGGUGGAUGAAGGGGUCCCAGCCGCCUGAGACCCCCGGUGGGGACACAGGAUCGCGGUGAGACACCUGGGAGUCACAGGUGCUCGCAGACGCAGCUGACCCCAGAGGCACAGGUACGGACACAGGUCCACACCUGGAAGCCGGUGCACAGUGCUCGGCACAGAUGCAAAGCGGCAGGUGUGCGUAGGUUUGUGUCAACGCCACCCUGGGAACCCAGGAUGGCUGCGGACACUCACGGAGCCCGCACCCAGGAACCCGCUCGUAGUAAGCGCUUAAUAACUAGGCACUGGCUGAAUGAAUGAAUGAAUGAAUGAACACGGCGCUUCGCAAAACCAGGAAAAGGCAGAGGCUCACAGAACCAGGGAACGACGGGCUGGGGGGAGCGGCAAGAAUUACGCAAUUAUGCAGGGGCCGCUGUGACUACCAGGCACCCCCUCCAACUCCCCCCCUACAAGGGCUGCUCUGGGGCAGAGAACGUCCCCCGCGCUGACUGCUGGGGCUGGGGGCUGGGGGGGCAGAUCAGAAAGAAUGGGCCUGAAUUGCUCCCAGGCUGGGCAUGUGGCGCCCGCGUCUGGGGCUCCAGUGGGUGGGUGGCCCCUCCCGCAUGGACGGCGGGCGCAGGGGAGCUCGGUGCUGAUGUCUCUCUCCUUUAAUAACCACCCUGCGUGAGUGGCUGACGCAGCAGCCGGCUGCCGCUGACGGGGAGUGGGGCGGCUGUAGUGGGGGGGCCCGAGGUGCAGAGGGGGUGGUGAUGAGUCACACAGCUGCUGCCUGGGGGAGGGGGUCUUGAGCCCAUGAGGGGUCCCAGAGACCUUGUCACUGGAGACAGCGCCCCUGGCUACCCCCACCUCGAUCCACUUGAGGGUGGAAGUGAGUCUGAGGUCAGGAGUGGGGCCGGGAUUUCCCUGGGAUGAGCAACAAAACGGGGGUCUCUGUACGCCAACUUCCCCCAGCUUGUCAGCAGAGGAUCAUCCCUCCGAAGACUUUCUGAGGCAGAGAGGCAGGGGUCCGCGCUGGCUUCUUCCACCAGGGCUGAGGGAGGCGGCGGCAUGAGAUGAUUCCUGGGCGAGGAGCAAGUGAUGGCCAUAGAGGGCCCCCCAGAGGCUUUGGGGCCGCCGAAGAGUAGUGAGUGAGGGUCCUUGUAAAGCUGGUUCUCCAGAUGGCGGCGGCUUUAAGACUCCCCUCCGCCAACCAGGCUCAGUAGGGGAGGCCUGUGGAAGGAGAGAAAAGGCCUGGGUGGAGGAGCAGAGUGGGCCUGGCCCCGCGUGGGGAGCGAGUGCGCCGUUGGUGUGCAGCACGGUGGGAGGGGAGGCCGAGGGCCGGGCUGAGUGCUGGGGUGCAGUGGGGACUCGAGGUGUCCGCCUGCACCCGACAGCAGGGACGCACAACACUAUCCGGCCAGGCGAGUGUGGGGGUGUGGGCCACGCACCCAGCCGUGAUAAUCGCGGUUCCAGUGGGAGUUAGGCUUGGGUGCGGGUUGGAGUUUGUAGGCAAACUGGGUUGCGUAAAGUUGGGGUGCACCAAAGUGUGGCGAUGUAGGAAGAAUUGGGAUUGCGAAUAUUGGGGUUCGCAUGAAUGGGGUUGUCUCUGUUGGGGUUUGGGUGGGCAUGGGGUUGAUGGCAGGAAUGGAGUGCUGGGAAAACUGGGACGUCGGUUGUAUUGGCAAGAAUAUCACGACAGGUGUCGGGGUUCAGAUGAAGUUGGGAUGUCUGACAGCCGGGUCUUGGUUGGGUAGGGGAUCUGGGCUAGGUUGUUAUGUCGGGACUGCUGGAGCACAGGCAAAGUCGGGGUCCCAGUGACACCCAGAGGUCCCCAUGAGGCCGGAGGCCUGGGAAUCGGGGCUAGAGGCCCAUUUGUUCCCCGCCGCAGGCCAGGGAGCGGGCACGCGUAACUGGGUCAGCCCCGCCCCGCCGCGCGCUGGUCACGCCCCCUCGAGCGCGGGUGGAGGACUGCGGACUGCAAACGUCUCGGCCAAUAGUCGAGCCCGACAACAGUGCGCGGGAGGGGGCGGAACCGAGAUAGACUCGGCCCCCAGCUCAUGAAUAUAAGACGCAGGCGCGCCCUCUGAUUGGCCCAGGAUGUGUAGGGGGCGGGGCCCGGCGGAGCCGUAUAUAAGGCCGGGCUCGGGGACGCCCCCCCUCACUCGCGCGUUAGGAGGCUCGGGUCGUUGUGGUGCGCCGUGUUCCCGCUUGCGUCAGGGACCUGCCCGACUCAGUGGCCGCCAUGGCAUCAGAUGAAGGCAAACUUUUUGUUGGAGGGCUGAGUUUUGACACCAAUGAGCAGUCGCUGGAGCAGGUCUUCUCAAAGUACGGACAGAUCUCUGAAGGUG
This 2509-nucleotide long non-coding RNA is filed under the name Pan troglodytes (chimpanzee). Its description in RNAcentral is "long non-coding RNA NONPTRT007886". The record is from RNAcentral. Lineage: Eukaryota; Metazoa; Chordata; Mammalia; Primates; Hominidae.